CGGGGCUGCUGGAGGGGCUCCCAGGGCUAGUUCCGGGGCGGGGCCGGGAGGAGGGAGGGUGCGGAGCCAGGAGGCGGUCAGGACCCGGGGCAGCUCCCUUGGCCCGGCGGGGCGGGCCGGGCCCCGCCCGGCGGGGAACCGGGGACUCCCCCGAGGAGAGACUGGACACCUCACCGAUGGAUGGGCCAGGAUCAAUGAGAGUCAGCCCUAGGGAGCGUCAGGGGACUGCACCUGUCACCGAAGAUCGGGACGGGAGGCUCUGGAACUGGAAGGUCCUGACAGGAUAUGGAUUAACAUUACCUGGAAGCAGAAUGGGGAGGCAACAGUGAGGCCAGCUGCACGAAUUUGGAAACAGGGAGCUAAGUGCUGUCUGAGCUGGAAAAUCUGAGCUAGAAAAUGAGCAUAAAAAGCACCAGGUCACUUGAAAGGAGCAGAAAGACUCAGGCCACUGAGACGGACUGAAGCCUGAAUAAAAAUAUUAACUCAUUCAAACAACCGCUGAGGAACCACAGAGCCCUGAGGAGUGGCAGGUGUCUACACUGGCUAAGUGCAGCUCAGGUGAGGAACGGGUAGUGUGAUUUGUGGAAAGAGAUGUGUCUGACUACUUUGACACCAUUGAACAUUCUAGUCGCGGUCACAUGCUCGCCAAGGGACCCUCUCGCAGCCCUCCUUGGCUUCUCCCAUAGCCUGCCCCACAGGGAGGAUGAAACUUCCUGUUGGAGGGUGACAGUAAUGGCUCCCUUUGGGAGUUGUUUCUCUUCCUUCACCAAAAUAUUUAAAAACACCAAUUUUGGAACCAGCUUCCAAUUCCAGCACGGUGUCCCCUCUCUUCAGCAGCCACCGAGGAGCCGCUGAACCAUUUUCAUAAGAGAACCAUUAUGAAGCUUUUCUUCAGAGCUUCCUUCGAGGUAGCUAAGGCCCCGCUGGGUGAGCGUGCAGCUCUAUCCCAUGACUAGCUCGCGUCGGCAGCGCCGCGCCAGGGCCUCGGGCGAGAACUCACCGCAUGCGGUCGGCUAUAUUUCUGCAUGGCCGUGGUGAGGGGAUGGUCGCUGCCGUUCCUGCUGAGGAGAAAGUGGACGCAAAGAAGAAUCUGAGGAAUCCCAUGAUGAUGUGCACUUUGGUCCGUCUAACUAACACCCCCUUGCCCCGGCCCUGUACACUGUUCAGUAAAAACUGAAGUCUUAAAGAAAAAAAGAAAGAAAAGAAAGAAAGAAAGGAAGGAAAGGAAAGGAACGGGAAAAGGAAAGGAAAGGAAAGAAAAAAGGAAAAGAAAGGGAAAGUUCUGGCUCUGCCGCUUCCAAACUGAUGACCUUGGGCCUGUGACUGGACCUUCUUGUGCCUCCGUUUCCUCAUCCGUAAAAUGGAGACAUGAAGGGUACAAUGGAGACAUGAAGGGUACGUGCCUCCUACUAGUGAGGACUCAUGAGUCCAGCCUGUGAGAACUCGCAGUGCCGGGCAAGCAGUUGGCGCUGUGUCUGCUGUGGUGCUUGUAGAAGAUGACACACUUGGCACCCUGGCUCAUCCAGCUCGCGCUCUGGGGGCCUAGACUCUGAGACGCUGGUGCCCCUGAGGCACUGUCCUACUCUCUCCGUGCUGGUAGGGUCAGGUUCCUGAGCCUGCACCUGGAGAGGAAGACGUUCAGCUAUGGUGACUUCUCCUAAGAGCCAGAUUUCCUAGCUGCAAAUGGGUGCUAAAAAGUCCCAACAGAAAGAUGGAGGAACAAAAGGUGACUCCAACUGCAAUGCCAAAAGAAUAAAGAGCCACUGCUUUUGUCCACCAAUCCAUCAUCCACUCUGGGGAAAGCCAGCUGCCAUAUUUUGAAUAGCCCUAUGGAGACAGCUUACAACAGACAACUUAGUGAGAAAUGGAGGUCUCCAGAUAACAACCUGAGAAAAACUGAGGCUCAGCCAGAAAAUAAUAGAAAGGAAAGACUGCAGAGGGACUUGGUGCCAGAAGGCUUCAGAGACAGCUGUCCCUGCAGCACGUGGAUCCCUCCUUCCCCAGGCGUGACUGCCUUUCCUGGCAGGUACUCCAAGCCACCAACGGAACAAAGAAGAAACAAAGGUAUAAUGAGCAAGCUUCUUCCACUAUACACUACAGACAAUAGGUGCAAUAUUUUGAAAAAAAGAAAAGAAAUCUGUCUCAUUAGUUAACUCUUUUAGACCAUUUGCUGCUAUGUACAGGAAGGCGUGGGGUUUGAGGUGAUGGCAGCAACCUCACAUCGGCAGCUGUGGGUCCUCAUGUCGUCCCUUCCCCAUAGUGACCAGGCCAGAGUCUGCUUAGGUUUUGCACCUAGGCCCACCUUUUAGUCCCUCCCUGAUCUCUUUGCCACUACAGAGCCCAAACUUGCCUAUGCCUGGUCAAGUCCCAGCGACACAGCAGAACUGUGGCUGUGAGAGGAGAGCCCUGCCUUCCUCCUCCUGCUCCUCAACCAGGGCCGGCCCAUUACUUAGCAAUGGCUCUAUUUUUGUCGUGCUCAUUAUGCUGCAGCACUGUUCAU
Long non-coding RNA from Mustela lutreola (European mink), 2500 nucleotides. RefSeq lists it as uncharacterized. The transcript is spliced from 5 exons. Lineage: Eukaryota; Metazoa; Chordata; Mammalia; Carnivora; Mustelidae. The record is from RefSeq and is a predicted model, not a curated record.